GGGGGCCCGCACAAGCGGUGGAGCAUGUGGUUUAAUUCGAAGCAACGCGAAGAACCUUACCAGGUCUUGACAUCCUUUGACCACUCUGGAGACAGAGCUUUCCCUUCGGGGACAAAGUGACAGGUGGUGCAUGGUUGUCGUCAGCUCGUGUCGUGAGAUGUUGGGUUAAGUCCCGCAACGAGCGCAACCCUUGAUUUUAGUUGCCAGCAUUUAGUUGGGCACUCUAAAGUGACUGCCGGUGCAAGCCGGAGGAAGGUGGGGAUGACGUCAAAUCAUCAUGCCCCUUAUGACCUGGGCUACACACGUGCUACAAUGGAUAGUACAAAGGGUCGCGAAGCCGCGAGGUGGAGCUAAUCCCAUAAAACUAUUCUCAGUUCGGAUUGUAGGCUGCAACUCGCCUACAUGAAGCCGGAAUCGCUAGUAAUCGUGGAUCAGCAUGCCACGGUGAAUACGUUCCCGGGCCUUGUACACACCGCCCGUCACACCACGAGAGUUUGUAACACCCGAAGUCGGUAGGGUAACCUUUAUGGAGCCAGCCGCCGAAGGUGGGACAGAUAAUUGGGGUGAAGUCGUAACAAGGUAGCCGUAUCGGAAGGUGCGGCUGGAUCACCUCCUUUCUAAGGAA
Molecule: ribosomal RNA, 625 nt
Filed under: Listeria monocytogenes
Lineage: Bacteria; Bacillati; Bacillota; Bacilli; Caryophanales; Listeriaceae
Description: bacterial SSU rRNA
Rfam family: Bacterial small subunit ribosomal RNA
Source: RNAcentral